Molecule: long non-coding RNA, 260 nt
Organism: Erpetoichthys calabaricus (reedfish)
Lineage: Eukaryota; Metazoa; Chordata; Cladistia; Polypteriformes; Polypteridae
Exons: 3
Source: RefSeq, a predicted model, not a curated record
AGCAGAUGCAGGUCUCAUCGGUCCUACAGAAGAUUUCCAGAACUCUCUGAUGUCUUGUGCAGAUUCUCUCAUGGAGGUUUCUAAUCGGCUCCUUCAGUUUGUGUGUCUUCAGUGCUUCAGAGACCCUGUGAGGUUGGAGAUGAGUCUCACAGUAGGAGGCCAUGCAGGUCAGGCAGGUCUUGACGGCGCUCUGUUCUGGCCCAGGACACACAUCACAGAGGACAGAGCCAGGCCCCAUGUUGCUCUGAGAUGUCGAGUCA